UGAUAUUUUAACUUGCGUAUGUAGGCUACCCAACAAUAUGGGUAUUAUUGAUUUGUUUGAUCAUUUUGUCCUACAAUGUCUAAUCCUGAAAUCACAUGAACAGACUGAUGGAGAAAACUACAUCUGUCGACUGAAAUCUUUCCUGUGUGGAGGUUCACACAGUGUUGACACAAUGAGAACAAUGAUGAAGAAACGUUAAACAUUGGUGAUUACCCCUUUUAUUCCUCCUCCUCCUCCUCAUCAUCAUCAGCUUCCUUAUCAGCCUUCUUAAGGUUCUCAGGCUUCUUCAAACUGCAGCAGAAGACACAGGAGGAUUUUCAUCAGUUCAACAGGAGACAAACAGCUGCACAAGUUUACUGACUUCACACAAAACAGCCUUUCAUACCUUUCCAGAAAGCUCUUCAGCUCCUUCAACAAUUUGCUUUGUAGAUUCGUCUUUCUUCUCCUCGGCGUCCGCGCUGCAGCAGAAGACACAGGAGGAUUUUCAUCAGUUCAACAGGAGACAAACCACUGCACAAGUUUACUGACUUCACACAAACUCAGUGAAAAUGAUCCAACUAAAGUCACAAAGUAUAAACACAUAAUUAUGUAAAAAUGUCUAAAAUAAUAAAAGACACUAUAAAAUCC
Centropristis striata (black sea bass) is the source of this 627-nucleotide long non-coding RNA. RefSeq lists it as uncharacterized. The transcript is spliced from 2 exons. NCBI's taxonomy places the organism in Eukaryota, Metazoa, Chordata, Actinopteri, Perciformes, Serranidae. The record is from RefSeq and is a predicted model, not a curated record.